Molecule: ribosomal RNA, 464 nt
Filed under: uncultured bacterium
Lineage: Bacteria
Description: partial 16S ribosomal RNA
Rfam family: Bacterial small subunit ribosomal RNA
Source: RNAcentral
CCUACGGGUGACUGCAGUGGGGAAUCUUCCGCAAUGGGCGAAAGCCUGACGGAGCAACGCCGCGUGCUCGAAUGAAGGCCGUUGGGUUGUAAAGAUCUGUUGACAGGGACGAAUAAGCCAUGCGAAUAGUUUGGUGUAUGACGUUACCUUUUUAGAACGCUCGGGCUAACUACGUGCCAGCCGCCGCGGUAAUACGUAGGGAGCAAGCGUUGUCCGGAAUUACUGGGCGUAAAGGGCGCGUAGGUGGGUGCUUAAGUCAGGUGUGAAAACUCUGGGCUCAACCUGGAGACUGCACUUGAAACUGGGUAUCUUGAGGGCAGGAGAGGAAAGUGGAAUUCCUAGUGUAGCGGUGAAAUGCGUAGAUAUUAGGAGGAACACCAGUGGCGAAGGCGACUUUCUGGACUGUACCUGACGCUGAGGCGCGAAAGCGUGGGUAGCGAACGGGAUUAGAUACCCCUGUAGUC